Molecule: ribosomal RNA, 253 nt
Filed under: uncultured bacterium
Lineage: Bacteria
Description: partial 16S ribosomal RNA
Rfam family: Bacterial small subunit ribosomal RNA
Source: RNAcentral
UACGUAGGGGGCAAGCGUUGUCCGGAAUCAUUGGGCGUAAAGAGCGUGUAGGCGGCCUGAUAAGUCUGCUGUGAAAGUCCAGGGCUCAACCCUGGGAUGCCGGUGGAUACUGCUGGACUAGAGUGCGGAAGAGGCGAGUGGAAUUCCCGGUGUAGCGGUGAAAUGCGCAGAUAUCGGGAGGAACACCAAUUGCGAAGGCAGCUCGCUGGGACGUGACUGACGCUGAGACGCGAAAGCGUGGGGAGCAAACAGG